GCCUGGGUGGCUCAGUCAGUUAAGCGCCUGACUUCGGCUCAGGUCAUGAUCUCAUGGUUUGUGAGUUCGAGCCCCACGUCGGGCU
This 85-nucleotide transfer RNA is filed under the name Felis catus (domestic cat). It matches the Rfam family "tRNA". Rfam says of the family: Transfer RNA (tRNA) molecules are approximately 80 nucleotides in length. Their secondary structure includes four short double-helical elements and three loops (D, anti-codon, and T loops). Further hydrogen bonds mediate the characteristic L-shaped molecular structure. tRNAs have two regions of fundamental functional importance: the anti-codon, which is responsible for specific mRNA codon recognition, and the 3' end, to which the tRNAs corresponding amino acid is attached (by aminoacyl-tRNA synthetases). tRNAs cope with the degeneracy of the genetic code in two manners: having more than one tRNA (with a specific anti-codon) for a particular amino acid; and 'wobble' base-pairing, i.e. permitting non-standard base-pairing at the 3rd anti-codon position. The record is from Rfam by way of RNAcentral. Lineage: Eukaryota; Metazoa; Chordata; Mammalia; Carnivora; Felidae.